Molecule: ribosomal RNA, 301 nt
Filed under: uncultured bacterium
Lineage: Bacteria
Description: partial 16S ribosomal RNA
Rfam family: Bacterial small subunit ribosomal RNA
Source: RNAcentral
CAGCAGCCGCGGUAAUACGUAGGGUGCGGGCGUUAAUCGGAAUUACUGGGCGUAAAGCGUGCGCAGGCGGUUUUGUAAGACAGGCGUGAAAUCCCCGGGCUCAACCUGGGAAUGGCGCUUGUGACUGCAAAGCUAGAGUGCGGCAGAGGGGGAUGGAAUUCCGCGUGUAGCAGUGAAAUGCGUAGAUAUGCGGAGGAACACCGAUGGCGAAGGCGAUCCCCUGGGCCUGCACUGACGCUCAUGCACGAAAGCGUGGGGAGCAAACAGGAUUAGAUACCCCCGUAGUCCCUGUCUCUAUACC